RNAcentral lists this unclassified non-coding RNA (2831 nucleotides) under Drosophila yakuba. RNAcentral's name for it is "GE26252". The record is from RNAcentral. Lineage: Eukaryota; Metazoa; Arthropoda; Insecta; Diptera; Drosophilidae.
CUUGUAGUGGUAUCGCUCGCCGUAAACACCCUGUGGAUCUCACGCUUGAUAAAUUAAUAAUACAUUUAAUAGAGCAUGAGCGCUACUGUUUAAGUUUUACACAUAAUUGAAAAGUUUUAUUUGAAAUUUCGUGGCUUAAAGUAAAACAUGUGAUAGCUUUUUGAAAUGCAGUAGCCAAAACCUGCUCGGUUGGAACAUUUAGCUUAUUGACUUAAACAUACCCAUAUGCACAUACAUAUGUAUUAAACAGUAGGCACAUAUAUUCGUGUGGUGCUGAUAGUGUAAAUGUGUAAAAUGUCUGUGGAAUUGUAAAUAUGUUUUUGUUUAUACAAAUAUGUACAUAAAUGCACAAAAAUCGGUGCAUAUAUGUGCACAUGCCCAUCAUCAUCCAUAUCUGCAUAUUUCUGUACAUGCAUAUGUGCUCUAACUACAAUACAUACCACCAUUCGCAAACAGUUUGUCAAAAAAGUGUGUCUACUCGGCGAGAUAAAACAAAAAACAGUUGCCAAAUCAGUCGCUAUGUUAAGUAAUUCGAAAUUACUGUUCGGUGUUUCUAAAACGGAUUUUGAUUUUGGUUUUCACCCAUCGAAAAUCGCCAGUUCAGCCAGCGGGCCCAUUUAAUUGCUCGGAUACGAAUUAAAAUCGCCGUACGUUGGCUUCAGUAAGAAAACUCUAUCGACCAGUUUGUUAAACACAACCAGGACCAUUCGACAACCAAUCUGAAUGUAUUAUGCCAAGCGGAAGAUUGUUAUAUUGUUUAUCUCUGAUAGUAAUAGCCGAUACAUAACGUACACUUUGAAAUGGAGUAAAUAGAAGACAAGCACUGGUUCCCCAAGAGAUUUGAAUGGAUGCAGCUAAAAUAAUUUAAAAAGACAAGUCUUUAACCUUAAAAAUAUGGCCAACACUAUUUCGUUAAUGUCCAACGUGAUACGCAAUGUAGUGAGUAAAAAACGUAUACGAUACAAAGAAAAAGGAUACAAUUUGGAUUUAACAUACAUUUAUGAUAAUAUAAUUGCCAUGGGGUAUCCAGCAACGGAUAAGCUAGAGGGCCUAUACAGAAACCGUCUGGAAGAUGUCUUCAAGUUUUUGGAAGAGAAUCAUGCCCAGCAUUACAAAAUAUAUAACCUAUGCUCAGAGCGUAGCUACGACGUUGCUAAAUUUCACGGGAGAGUAGCUGUUCUGCCGUUCGAAGACCAUAACCCUCCAACGAUUGAGUUAAUACAACGAUUUUGCAUGGAUGUGGAUUUAUGGCUCAAGGAAGAUUCGUCCAAUGUUGUAGCCGUGCACUGUAAAGCUGGAAAAGGCAGAACCGGUACCAUGAUCUGUGCAUAUUUAGUGUUCAGUGGACUUCAAAAAUCCGCUGACGAUGCAUUAGCGUGGUAUGAUGAGAAGCGUACAAAGGACCGAAAAGGUGUGACAAUCCCAUCUCAGCGUCGAUAUGUUCAGUAUUUUUCCAAACUAGUUUGUUCAAGUGUUCCAUAUUCGAAAAUAAGCCUUAACGUAUGUGAAAUACGGUUCUCGGAGUCCAGUUGCUUGCAAAACUUAGGCACGGUACAAUGUUCAGUAUCUGUACUACACGACUCAACCACAGAAAAUGCAGAGCCUGAUAAUCUGAAAACCUGGACGAUUGAUUUCAAAAAAUCAUUUGUUUUGACUAUUAAACCAUAUUUACCAGUUUGCGGUGAUGUAAAAUUCGAACUUACACAAAAAUCUUCAGAUAAAAUCAUUUGUCACUUUUGGCUAAAUACAUUUUUUGUGCGAAAUUAUUCACCUUGCGAGUCCGAUGGAACAGUUAACAAAUAUAUACACACUUUAAGCAAAUCAGAAAUCGAUGAUGUGCAUAAAGACAGAGAACAUAAAACGUUUUCAGAGGAAUUCAAGAUUUCAAUUGUAUUUGAGGCAGAUAAUUUUAGCAAUGAUGUUCAAGUUGAACCGUCUGAAAAAGAGAGAAAUGAAAAUGUGUUAAACUUUGAAAGAUCCGACUAUGACAGUUUAUCUCCAAAAAACUGCUUUCCCGAAAAAACAGUCUUAACUGCGAUCGUCAAUGAUAAUACAGCGAAAAGUCAAACAAUAGAACCGUUGGAUCAUAAGGAUAUAGUUACUAAAAUCCAAUACGACACAUCAACCAAUUCAAAAAAUACUUCGACUGCGUGUAAACGCAAACAGCCUAAUAGCAAACCUCUUUUACCAAACUUGAAUGAUUCCACAAAAGAGGAACUAAAAAAAAAUCAUAUAUUUAAUCAACCGUCCAUUAAAAAAACUGAUUUAAUCAAAUGGCAGAAUAGUGAAGUUCAUAUCACCUCUGACACUCGAAGUAUAAACGAAAAUAAGAACAUCAAUUACAAUUCAUACAUCACAUGUAAACAAUCCUCUCCAAAAUUCAACUGUGGUACCGAAGAAGGCGAGGAAGAUUGGGAAUCCGAAUAAUCACCCGAGACGAUUUAAAAGACUUCUGGCUGAACGAUCUCUUAAUUUUGAUGUAUAAUACGAAGCCACCAGAACUGGAUUUAUAUGUCCCCAAGACUUUUACGAGUAUACUAGCAGACAGGCUUACACAGAUCCACUUCCUUUCACGGGGAACCGAUCGGUGGUUAUAGCUGGGCUCUGCACAUCUGUUUAGAAUUUAAUGUACAUAGGUGAAUCAACAUACCUGUAAUCAAUGCUUAUUACGGACUUAUAAUUCUUGGUGAUUUAGCAAAGUAAUUAAAAUUGCUAAGUAAUUGGCUAAUCUAUUCGAAUUUGUAAAUAUACUGUAUGAUAUUUAUUUAAGUAGUUUUAACAAUUAUUUUAAAUAAACUCAUGUACAUUUUGUAUUGUAGAUUUCAUUCGAA